This 5705-nucleotide long non-coding RNA is filed under the name Salmo salar (Atlantic salmon). RNAcentral's name for it is "lncRNA (ENSSSAG00000107237.1)". Lineage: Eukaryota; Metazoa; Chordata; Actinopteri; Salmoniformes; Salmonidae. The record is from RNAcentral.
CUCUGUCAGUGAUGUGUGCAUGCAUUGACUCCAUAUAGGGAACUAAUGCAGAGAUGUGUUGUUUCUAGAGGCCUUAUCAUCACUGCACUUCCUUAAAUGGGUGCUGAAGGCAUUGUGGCUAAGUAUAAAGACCUCGGGUCCAUGCCCGACAUUUGUGACCUUCCGGAAUUGAGGAGCACUGGUUUGUUUUCAGCAUUUGUUGAAUUGGAACAUAUGCUGUGCCAAUGGUCUGUGGUGUAGGGUGGCAACUGGCGAGCCAAAGCCAGCCAGGAGAGAAUCUCUUCCACAAUCCUCUGGACUUUUACUGCCAUGUCAUUGAUACUGUGCCUCAUCCAAAGUAUUAUUUUCCACAAUUGUUUUCCCACAUGAUAUUUGCACAAAACUCCAGAUUUGAUCAAAUUAGAUUGUAAUUCGAUUUAUAUUCGCCUUAAUAUAUUGUGGGGCAAAAUGUUGUAUAACUACAACUCAUUGGAUAUGUAUUUCACACUUUUUUAUUCCACUAUUCUACUUAUCUUUAGUCUAACUCUUGCAUUGUUCAAAACCAUUAUUUGUCUGUUAUGUUAGAAAAGUGUCUGAAGAAAUCAUUGUUUUACAUGGAAUGCCUUCAAGCAGCCAUCAACAUUGGUAUAUUCCUGGACAGCCUUCUGUUUUCUCCAUGUCUAUUUAUGUACUUUUUUCACAUCUACAAUCAACAAUCUAUCAAAGAUCCUGCAUACAUAAUAUGUAUGUACACUCCACUACAUAUUUAUUUGGACAGUAUAGGCAAUUUUUUGGAAUUUGGCUCUAUACACAUUUUGGAUUUGAGAUCAAAUGUUUCAUAUGUGGGGAUAGUACAGAAUGUCACCUUUUAUUUGAGGGUAUUUUCAUACAUAUCUGUUUCAUACAUAUCUGUUUUACCAUUUAAAAAUGAAAGCACUUGAUGUAUCUAGCCCGCCCCAUUUGAAGUUUCUAUAAGUAUUUUUUUUCUAUAAGAAUUUGGACAAAUUAGUAUAUUCAAGUUGUCAAAAGUUUAGCAUUUGGUCCUGUAUUCCUAGCACACAAUGACUACAUUAAGCUUGUGGCUAAACAAACUUGUUGGAUAUAUUUGCAGUUUGUUUUGGCUGUGUUUCAGAUUAUGUUUUGCCCAAUAGGAACUGAAUUAUGAAUAAUGUAUUGUCAUUUUGGUGUCACUUUUAUUGUAAUAAUAUAAUAUUUUCUACACUUCUACAUAAAACAAAUUUGCAUUGUAAUUUCAUAAAAUGUCCAUAAUAUAUCUGUCGUUAGCAGUGGAAUGAUAUUGUUUCACAGUAUUACUUACCUGCCAGUGUUGUGAUUGGCUUUGAUAUUCGCCUAUUGAUUUAUCCUGUCUCAGCGGCAUCUGGGAAAUCUGUUCUGAGUUUGUGGCUGCGUUAUCUAGUGGAAAUCGCUGAAUUCCUGGUUGCUAAAAAUCUACACUGUUCGCUCAAUUUCAGUUUGUGUAAGAAAACAAGCACUGCAUAAUGUAACGAAUCAUUGUACCAUCUACAUUUGUGUAGAUAUAUUUUAAAUAAAACGAAUACAUCGUUUUUAUAGAUAUUUAAAUCUGGUGAACAAAAACCGCUGUUUGAAGAUGGUGGUAGCAACCAGGAAAUUACAGAGCCACAAAGUCAGAAGAGCUUUCUCUCGUUUAACAGAUGCCGCUCUGGCGGGAGAAAUCAGUAGGCGAAUAUCACAGCCCAUCAACAACACACCAAGAUAGACCACAGCUUGUCGUUUUCAAUGGGAACAAAUUAGUCAUUGUGAGCAGAACAGGCAAGUAGGUGGGCAGAACAAGCCCGCGCUAGCGAUAUACUAUUGGUGGGUUCUAGUUACAUCUGCAAAUUUCCGUUAGGGAACGCCUACUCUGUGAAGUGCGCGUGUGCAGUAACUCAAUUCGCCUUUGCACUCCUAAACAGCGCCAUUUAAAAAAAACUUUUGCCAAGAGUAAAGUCUUAUUAACUUAGUCCGUUCUUUUCAUAAUAGAUUUUAGUUUUCGGAAUAGAAAACUAUACUGAGAUCAAAUGUUUAAUUGAUGAGAAUAUUUGCAGAAUGUCGGCCAAAAUCCAUCACUUUCCAUAUUUUCCCACUGCCAACCAGUGGGCUUCCUCUCACUACCAUAUUUGGUAGUGGAAACGCCAACCGGAUGCUUCACAUUUAUACAUCUAUAGUGAAAUAUCUGUCUCAUUGUUCUAUCUAUGGUAAUAAUGUCAGGGUUCGUAUGGUCAUGAAAAUCAUGGAAAAGUCAUGGAAUUUUAAAUUGGUGUUUUUAAGACCUGGAAAAGUUUGGGGAAUUAAUCAAAUCCCAAAUAGUUUUGGAAAAGUAAUGGGGAUUUAUUUUAUUUAUUUUAAUGUACUUCAUUUUGGCACAGUUUUUAAAUAUUUUAUCAAUCGAAUAAAAAUCUACAUAUCAGCCAGGAUCGGAAUGACGCUUUAGCCUGUCUGUGUUUGCGAGUACACGAGUGGGCCGUUAGUCAAGGAGACAGUCGGAUAUUGCAGCAGCAGGUUGGCCUAUAUACCCUACAAAAUAUGAUAGAGAACAGACUAAUAACUAGGUAGCCAUUCUGUAUACUUCUGGCCCCUCUUUGGACACUGUGUUGACUAACCUCCAGACGAGCGUCAAUGCCAUACAACCCUCCUUUCGUGGCCUCCAACUGCUCUUAAACGCAGGUAAAACUAAAUGCAUGCUAUUCAAUCGAUCACUGCCCCCACCUGCUCGCCCGUCCAGCAUCACUACUCUGGACGGCUCUGACUUAGAAUACGUGGACAACUACAAAUACCUGGGUGUCUGGUUAGACUGUAAACUCUCCUUCCAGACUCACAUUAAGCAUCUCCAAUCCAAAAUUAAAUCUAAAAUUGGCUUCCUAUAUCGCAACAAAGCAUCCUUCACUCAUGCUGCCAAACACACCCAUGUAAAAUUGACCAUCCUACCGAUCCUCGACUUCGGUGAUGUCAUCUAUAAAAUAGCGUCCAACACUCUACUUAACAAACUGGAUGCAGUCUAUCACAGUGCCAUCCGUUUUGUCACCAAAGCCCCAUACACUACCCACCAUUGCGACCUGUACGCUCUCGUUGGUUGGCCCUCGCUUCAUACUCGUCGCCAAACCCACUGGCUACAGGUCAUCUACAAGUCUCUGCUAGUUAAAGCCCCGCCUUAUCUCAGCUCACUGGUCACCAUAGCAGCACCCACUCGUAGCACGCGCUCCAGCAGGUAUAUCUAAUUGGUCACCCCCAAAGCCAAUUUCUCCUUUGGCCGCCUUUCCUUCCAGUUCUCUGCUGUCAAUGACUGGAACGAACUGCAAAAAUCUCUAAAGCUGGAGACUCAUAUCUCCCUCACUAACUUUAAGCACCAGCUGUCAGAGCAGCUCACAGAUCACUGCACCUGUACAUAGCCCAUCUGUAAAUAGCCCAUCUAUCUACCUACCUCAUCCCCAUACUGUAUUUAUUUAUCUUGCUCCUUUGCACCCCAGUAUCUCUACUUGCAGAUUCAUCUUCUGCACAUCUACCAUUCCAGUGUUUAAUUGCUAUAUUGUAAUUACUUCGCCACCAUGGCCUAUUUAUUGCCUUAACUUACCGAAUUUGCACUCACUGUAUAUAGACUUUUUGUUUUCUUUUGUUCUACUGUAUUAUUGACUGUAUGUUUUGUUUAUUCAAUGUGUAACUCUGUGUUGUUGUAUGUGUCAAAUUGCUACGCUUUAUCUUGGCCAGGUUGGAGUUGCAAAUGAGAACUUGUUCUCAAAUAGCCUACCUGGCUAAGUAAAGGUGAAAUAAAAAUUCUAAACAUAUAUUGUAACCUCUAGUUAAAUGUUUAGCUAUUAUUAAUAUGUAUUGAUGUUUUUGUCAUGUCCCAAAAAACGUAUCACCGACACUCGCGAAUAAGACCAUACAAAGUUGAUUCAUUUAAACGAUACAUACAAAGUUGAUUCAUUCUUGUUUUUACGAAACGAACGAUUCACUUCGAGUUGCAGUUCCUGACACAAAACGGUGCGCCUGGCACCUACUACUGUACCCCGUGCAAUGGCACUUAAAUCUUUUGUCUUGCCCAUUCACCCUCUGAAUGGCACACAUACACAAUCCAUGUCUCAAGGCUCAAAAAUCCUUCUUUAACUUGCCCCCUCCCCUUCAUCUACACCGAUUUGAAGUGGAUUUAACAAGUGACAUCAACAAGGGAUCAUAGCUUUCACCAGGAUUCACCUGGUCAGUCUUUGUCAAGGAGCAGGUGUCCUUAAUGUUUUGUACACUUGGUGUAUUCAACUAGUAAGUUAUUUCAAAAGUCAUGAAAUGUAUUUGGUUGUAAUGUUGCAAUGUUGAACAUCAAGGGUGGCCAACCAUCCUCCAGGAGAGCUAAUGGGUGUGCAGGCUUUUAUUCCAGUCCCCCUUUAAACAAACCACAUUUUAGAAAUUAGCUGCUCAAGUGGACCUUGAUAAAAAUCGCUCUGAUGUGUUUGAGCCGGGCUUGAUCAAAAGCCUUCACACCCAAUUAGCUCUCCAGAUUAAGGGUUGACCACAGGUGUUUUAUAGAGUUGCCUAACAGGUGUUGUACUUUGCGGGGGGUUAAGAGCCUUGCACAACCACAGGAGAUGGCCCAUGGGAUCAGAGAGCAGCCGCCCAGUGUCGAUACCACAUUACACUUCGUUAAACGUACAUAGAGGCUUCGUUAAUUGUUGGUCAUGGAAAUAUUGUUAGAAGUCAUGGAAAAGUCCUAAAAUUCCAUCUGUCAAAAAUGUGAAUGAAACCUGUACUGUGAAACACUGUCAUUCCACUAUUAGCGCCAGAUCCGGUAUUUUAUGGACAUUUUCUGAAAUUACAAUGCAAAAAUUCAAAUGUGUAGCAAAUCCUAUGUGUAGCAACUUUCAUAUGGAUGCAUAUGGAUAAACAUGAAUCGUGAAUAAUGCUGAGUGAGAAAGUUACAGAGGAACAAAGAUCAUAGCGCCCCCCCCAAAAAAAUGCUAACCUUUCACCAUUACCAUUAGCAUUUUUGGGGGGGUAUGAUCUUUGUUCCUCUGUAACGUUCUCACUCAUCAUUAUUCACUCAUCAUUCAUGAUUAUCCAAUACAUUAUGUCACGUCCUGACCAGUAAAGGGGUUAUUUGUUAUUGUAGUUUGGUCAGGACGUGGCAGGGGUGUGUGUUUAGAGUGUUUCGGGGUUUGUUGGGUUAUGUUCUAGUAUGUCUAUUUCUAUGUGGUGUUUAUUGGGUUGACCUUCAAUUGGAAGCAGCUGCUCCUAGUUGCUUCUAAUUCAAGGUCCUAUUUAAGAGGGGUGUUUUCUAUGGGAUUUUGUGGGUAGUUGUUUCUUGUUUAGCUGUGUGCCUGACAAGACUGUUAUCGUCAUAUUUUUUUUUUUUUUAUACGUGUGUUUUGUUUUGGUUUUCCUUCUUUCUGCCUAUUAAAAAGAAGAUGAGUAUACACAUUCCCGCUGCGUUUUGGUCUAAUCCUUAUGACACAUUACUUACUAUUAAUUUCUAUUGGUCACAGCAUAAUCCACAACACAACCAAAACAAAUGCAUCCAACAAGUUCCUAGUGUCCUAGGAAUAUGGGACCAAAUAAACUAUGACUACAUUUAAAUCACUAUAAGGGAAUUUGUACAAAUACUUAUUAGCCUUUGAAUGGGGGUGGACUAGAUACACAGAGUGCAUAUACUGUAUUUCUAAACACUAAAACAGAGUUGGAGUCAUUGCAGUUAAAGGUGGCACAACAAGUUGAGUGUAAGG